RNAcentral lists this small nuclear RNA (107 nucleotides) under Phocoena sinus (vaquita). The record is from RNAcentral. Lineage: Eukaryota; Metazoa; Chordata; Mammalia; Artiodactyla; Phocoenidae.
GUGCUCACUUCAACAGCACAUAGACUAAAAUUGGAACGAUGCAGAGAAGAUUAGCAUGGCCCCUGUGCAAGGAUGACAUGCAAAUUCAUGAAGCAUUCCAUAUUUUU